Molecule: non-coding RNA, 119 nt
Organism: Pteropus alecto (black flying fox)
Lineage: Eukaryota; Metazoa; Chordata; Mammalia; Chiroptera; Pteropodidae
Source: Rfam
GUCUAUAGCCAUGCCCCCCUGAAUGUGCCUGAUCUUGUCUGGUCUUGGAAGCUAAGCAGGGUCAGGCCUGGUUAGUACUUGGAUGGGAGACCACCUAGGAAGAUCAGGUGCUACAGGUG